UGCGUAGGCGGAAAAGUAAGUCAGUAGUGAAAUCCCGCAGCUUAACUGUGGAACUGUUAUUGAUACUGGUUUUCUUGAAUAUAGUUGAGGUAGGCGGAAUGUGUAAUGUAGCGGUGAAAUGCUUAGAUAUUACACAGAACACCGAUUGCGAAGGCAGCUUACUAAGCUAUGAUUGACGCUGAGGUACGAAAGCGUGGGGAGCGAACAGGAUUAGAUACCCUGGUAGUCC
RNAcentral lists this ribosomal RNA (229 nucleotides) under uncultured bacterium. RNAcentral's name for it is "partial 16S ribosomal RNA". It matches the Rfam family "Bacterial small subunit ribosomal RNA", at positions 568 to 796 of the family's 1533-position model. The record is from RNAcentral.